CAUUUACCUAAUGCCUGUACCCUUAUUGUACCUAGGAAGCAAUUAACUUGCUUUUGAUUUUACAGGCUCAUAGGUGGAAGGGACUUGCCUUGUCACAGAUGAGACUUUAGACUGUGGACUUUUGAGUUAAUGUUGAAAUGAGUUAAGACUUUAGGGGACUGUUGUGAAGGCAUGAUUGUGUUUUGAAAUGUGAGGACAUGAGAUUUGGGAGGAGUCAGGGGCAGAAUGAUGUGGUUUGGUUGUGUCUCCACCCAAAUCUCAUUUUGAAUUUCCACAUGUUGUGGGCGGGACCCAGUGGGAGGUAAUUGAAUCAUGGGGGCAGGUCUUUCCCAUGCUGUUCUUGUGACAGCGAUCUCUCAUGAGAUCUAACAGGGAGUUUCCCUGCACAAGCUCUCUCUUUGCCUGCUGCCAUCUGUGUAAGAUGAGACUUGCUCCUCCUUGCCACCUACCAUGAUUGUGAGGCUUCUUCAGCCAUGUGGAACAUUCCUCAAGAAAGUCCAUGCUCCAACAAGAGGCAUCUUGGAACUGAGACAGCCAGGUGGGAAGGGCUCCUGGCAAAACUUCAAUCGGUCUGCGCACUGGGAGGAAUGAACAGUGGGAUGGAGCCAUGGAAGUCUGCACCACCGUUUUCAGCAGGGAAGGGCCUGGCCCCUCCUCUUUCUGUGCGAAACUUGAGAUUCACACUUCAAGGUGGGAAGCGCACCUUUUUCCCUUUUUACCCAGUAAAACUCUGCUUUACUCACCCUUCAAAUUGUCUGCAAGCUUAAAUUUUCGUAGCCCUGUGCCAAGGACCCCGUCUUUAGCUGAGCUAAGGAAGAGUCCUGCAACAGAACUUUGCCUGAUCCCUGGCAUCAUCUCCGCUCCCUGCUUACCUGUGCCUUAGCUGGAGAAUCUUGACCUCAGAGGCUUACCUGUCCUCAAAGAGCAGGGAGUAAGACCCUCAGACAAAAAGUCUAACUCAUAACCUCAUUAAGCCUCGGGCAUAGGACUUGUUCCAGGCAUUCUAUGAACACAUGAAGGUCUAGAUUCUACUGCAGACAAAGACAGAAAUUCUCCCUUCUCAUCCCAAGGCAGCAGCUCUACAAAUCUCCCUGACUACCCCAGGAGCUCCCAUCAUAUUUUUUGUUAGUUAACGUUACCAGUUGUCUAUGUACAAUUAGACUGCAUAACAAGCAACCACAAAACCUCUGUGGUAUAAACAAUAACUUUUUUUUUUUUGCUCAUGAUUCUAUGACUUGGCUGGACAGUUCUUCUGAUCUUGGCUGGGCUUAUAUAAGUAGUUCUUCUUCUCUUGCUUGGGGGUGAGUCAUAAGUCUGACCAUACACUGGCUUUUAGUUCGUGUGGAAGGGUCCUGGCUAAGAUGACUGGCUUUGCUCCACAUGGUCCCUCAUCCUCCAGCCAGUUAGGCCAGGUUUGUUCUCAUGACAGAAAGAAUAGAGAGCAGAGGUGUUAUAAGACCUCAUAAGGCCUGGUUCAGAGGCAAGGCCACAUUCUCUUGGCCAAAGUAAAUCAAAAGGCAAACCAAGAUUGAAGGAAGAGGGAAACAGACUAUACUUUUGAUGGGAGAAGUAGCAAGAUCAUUUUG
This is a long non-coding RNA of Callithrix jacchus (white-tufted-ear marmoset), 1586 nucleotides long. The record is from Ensembl. Lineage: Eukaryota; Metazoa; Chordata; Mammalia; Primates; Cebidae.